AGAGUUUGAUCCUGGCUCAGAAUGAACGCUGGCGGCGUGCUUAACACAUGCAAGUCGAACGGUAACAGCAGAGCUUGCUCUGGCUGACGAGUGGCGCACGGGUGAGUAACAGAUAGAUAAUGUGCCCCUUAGUCUGGGAUAGCCACUGGAAACGGUGAUUAAUACUAGAUACGCCUCAAUAUUUGAAGAUAUUGAGGGAAAGGUUUUUCGCUAAGGGAUCAGUCUAUCUCCCAUCAGUUAGUUGGUGAGGUAAGAGCUCACCAAGACGAUGACGGGUAGCGGGUUUGAGAGGAUGAUCCGCCACACUGGAACUGAGACACGGUCCAGACUCCUACGGGAGGCAGCAGUGAGGAAUAUUGCACAAUGGGGGGAACCCUGAUGCAGCAACGCCGCGUGGAGGAUGACGCAUUUCGGUGUGUAAACUCCUUUUAUCAGAGAAGAAGAUGACGGUAUCUGAUGAAUAAGCUCCGGCUAACUCCGUGCCAGCAGCCGCGGUAAUACGGAGGGAGCAAGCGUUAUUCGGAAUCACUGGGCGUAAAGGACGCGUAGGCGGGUUUGUAAGUCAGGUGUGAAAUCCUACAGCUCAACUGUAGAACGGCACUUGAAACUACAGACCUAGAGUAUGGAAGGGGCAGAUGGAAUUAGUGGUGUAGGGGUAAAAUCCGUAGAUAUCACUAGGAAUACCGAAAGCGAAGGCGAUCUGCUGGGACAUUACUGACGCUGAGGCGUGAAAGCGUGGGGAGCAAACAGGAUUAGAUACCCUGGUAGUCCACGCCCUAAACGAUGAACACUAGUCGUCGGGGUACAAGUUACUUCGGUGAUGCACUUAACAGAUUAAGUGUUCCGCCUGGGGAGUACGGUCGCAAGAUUAAAACUCAAAGGAAUAGACGGGGACCCGCACAAGUGGUGGAGCAUGUGGUUUAAUUCGAAGAUACGCGAAGAACCUUA
Molecule: ribosomal RNA, 948 nt
Filed under: uncultured Campylobacterota bacterium
Lineage: Bacteria; Pseudomonadati; Campylobacterota
Description: bacterial SSU rRNA
Rfam family: Bacterial small subunit ribosomal RNA
Source: RNAcentral